CUAGUUUUUUAAUCUGAGGCUUUGACUUCCUUUCAUCUUCCUGAAUCUGAUCUAGUUCAUCUUUAGAAAGUGCUUAAGGGACUGAGGAUCGCAAAGACUCACUCUAAAGAAGAUUAAGAGAUGGGGUUUUACCAUGUUGACCAGGAUGGCCUUGAUCUCUUGACCUCGUGAUCUCCCUGCCACGGCCUCCCUGAACUGCUGGAAUUACAGGCUUCCAAGUGAGAAGUUCAGGGCUUCACAAUUGAGAACCAGAAAGAAAAGGAGAAACUGGCCUUUGUUGAGUAUCAACUGUCAACAUUCUUGGAUAAGAAAGUCACGGAUACAGAGUCCUGUCCUAACUCGGAAACUCUGCUCCACCACUAUCUGCAGAGGAGAAGAAGUAUUUAAGCUGAAUACGUCCAAGUUGAUGUGGAUAAAAACCCAAGGAACUUUUCCUAAAGGGAGAACCCCUCUUAAAGGAGAGUCUUAUGACCUGCUUCAGGAGAGAAGGGCAAGGGGAAGGUGAGGGCUAAGAAUUCCUUCUGCAACAACCCUGACAAAUGAGCAUGGUACUUCCAGGAAAAUUUCUCCAGGGUAGUGAAGCUCAUUACCAGAGAGCCACCCAGACAGCAAGAUGAAGCUUAACAAGGAAUACAAGAACAGCCUCCACUUGGAUUCAAAAUCAGCAACUGCAAAAAUUUCAAGAUAAAAAGACCUCCCUAAUGAUAAAGAAACACAUACAGCAAAAACCUUCAGUUGACUCUGUCUUAUUUCAGCUAUGGAAUUUUAGAAUUGGGUGUAUGUGCACCUGAGCAGUAUUCUUUUCUUUGAUAUUUACAGAACCUGUUGGCCAACAUGUUUCCAGAAACAGAGAACCACUCACGACUUUCUAAUAAAGCUAUUCCACAUGUAGACAAACAUAUUCAAUGCUAGUACUAAAAUCUGUUCCUGUUUCGAAUUCUCAUAUCAUGCCUUAACUCCUGUCUUUUGGAACAACUUAGACUGUUUAUGUCUUAACCACAAACACCCUACCACAUACUUGAAGAAGAUUCCCAUAGUUACAGAACACAACUCUUUCCCAAAUAAAAUUUACCUUCACUUUUCCUGAUGAGACAUUGAAAUCUAUUAUUCUUCCCUAGUAGGAUGGAAGUUCUUUGAGUAAAUAUGAGGCAUGUGUGUCAAGGAAAAAGUGGAUGUUUGCUUAAACAAAGAAGUGAGAUCCUGGGAGAAGUCCAACAUGUCACAAUAUUUACCCUGAAAGACACUCAGGCUUAAAUAAAAAUAAAUCAAAUCUUUUAAUCUCCUCUUAACUUAUUUACCCAAAUGCGACAAUGAAUUUUCAUAUAUCACUUUAAAUUCCUGACACACACAAGCCAAAUAUUGAACGCUGAUU
Molecule: long non-coding RNA, 1372 nt
Organism: Callithrix jacchus (white-tufted-ear marmoset)
Lineage: Eukaryota; Metazoa; Chordata; Mammalia; Primates; Cebidae
Source: Ensembl